Molecule: unclassified non-coding RNA, 374 nt
Filed under: uncultured Ignavibacteria bacterium
Lineage: Bacteria; Pseudomonadati; Ignavibacteriota; Ignavibacteria
Description: contains 16S-23S intergenic spacer region
Source: RNAcentral
UCACCACUUGCGUGGGCAGUCUCUUUAGAGUGCACAGCAUAACCUGCUAGCAACUAAAGAUAGGGGUUGCGCUCGUUGCGGGACUUAACCCAACACCUCACGGCACGAGCUGACGACAGCCGUGCAGCACCUCUGUAGCAGUCCCGAAGGAAAACCGACUUUCGCCGGCGAUCUACUACACUUCAAGCCCAGGUAAGGUUCUUCGCGUUGCAUCGAAUUAAACCACAUGAUCCUCCGCUUGUGCGGGCCCCCGUCAAUUCCUUUGAGUUUCAACCUUGCGAUCGUACUCCCCAGGUGGUAUGCUUAACGGGUUUCCUACGGCACUAAGAGUUGCCUCCUAACACCAAGCAUACAUCGUUUAGGGCGUGGACUAC